CCAGGGAGAGAGAGAGAGAGAGAGAGACAGAGAGGCAGAGACUCAAAACCCUAACCUCUGGUUUUCGAGAGAGGGAGAGGGUUUGUAAAGCAUUUGAGUGGAAGCUGUAAUUCAAGAAAUGGUUUCUUGCUCUGGAACCGAGGGAAGAUUGAAUUGUGGAAACCUUAGCUCUGUGGAAUGUCAUCGUCGCCGGAGAAGAGUCGUCUGAGUUCGGACGCCUGGCUGAAGGACCAUUCGCUCCGGCAUGUGGUUGUCAAAAUGCGCCGCCACUCUUUAUCCGAAACGCCGCCCUCAGAGUCCGACGAAACCCCGACUCUAGAGUCGGCCGGGCCUGAUUUCACUGCCCUCCUUUCCGACGAGCUUCUCCAACUGGUCUUCUCGAAGCUUCCCGAGUCUCAACACGUUCCCAAUUCCUUGGUUUGCAAGCGCUGGUUGAGGCUUACAGGCCGUCUCGUUCGCUCUAUCAGGGUUUUGGAUUGGGAAUUUCUUCAAUCUGGUAGGCUUGUGCAUCGCUUUCCUAAUCUCGUCGAUGUUGAUCUUGUUCCGGCUUGUAUUCAUUCUUCUCAGAAUUCUGAAAUAUUGUUGACCCACAAAAUUGUAUCGCUUCACGUUGAUUCAAGUUUGUUUGAAGGUGGAUUUUUGCGGAAACAGGAUUUAUUGCAUUCGGAUUUAGUUGAUAGAGGUGUUCGGAUUUUAGCCGAGGGUUGCCCUAAUUUGAGCAGGCUUGUUGUAAUAGGUGCUAGUGCCAAAGGCUUGUCGUGUAUUGCGGACGAUUGCCUGAUGCUGCAAGAAUUAGAGCUGCAUUGCUGCCCUGAUCUGUCUUUUAAAGGAAUUUCGGGUUGCCAGAAUUUACAGAUUCUGAAAUUGGUUGGUUGUGUUGAUGGGUUUUAUGAUUCAGUGGUUUCAGACAUUGGGUUGACGAUUUUGGCACGAGGCUGUAGGCGAUUAGUGAAACUUGAGCUGGUUGGUUGUGAGGGGAGCUAUGAUGGGAUCAAAGCUAUUGGGCAGUGCUGCCAAAUGCUUGAGGAGCUGACCUUAUGCAACCACAGGAUGGAUGGUGGGUGGUUGGCAGCACUUUCUUACUGUUCAAAUUUGAAGACUCUGAAACUUCAAUCUUGCAAGAUUAUUGAUUCAAGUCCAGGGCCUGAUGAGCAUAUAGGUUCUUGUGAAACACUUGAACAAUUACAUUUACAGAGGUGUCAAAUGCGGGAUAAGCAAGGUGUGAGAGCAUUGUUUCUAGUUUGCGAGGCUGUUAGGGAGCUCCUUUUUGAGGACUGUUGGGGGUUCGAGGAUAAUGUGUUUGGCAUGGCUAGUAUUUUUAGAAGCGUACGGCUUUUAUCUUUGGAAGGGUGCUCAUUACUGACAACUGAAGGGUUAGAAGCAGUAGUUAUUUCAUGGAAAGAGCUUAAAGAGCUUAGAGUAGUCUCAUGUAACAGUAUAAAGGAUAGUGAAAUCACUCCAGCAUUGGCGACCUUGUUUUCUGUUCUUAAGGAGUUGAAGUGGCGGCCAGAUUCAAAAUCUCUUCUAUCAUCAGGUCUUGAAGGGAGUGGGCUGGGAAAGAAAGGGGGCAGAUCCUUCAAGUGGGUGUGAAAAAUUGAGCCUAAUAUUCUCUUGCUGAGAAGUCAAGCUUAUGCUAAAUGGAUGCUUGCAGCUACAAUGAUGGAUGACUUACGGUAAAAGCAUGGAAGAUGCAAUGUGUGGAGCUGAAGACUUGGAUAUUGCAAGUCAUACUGAGCAGUUAUUGGCUUCAAACUGCUCUACAUAGAUAUUAGUAUUAUGAAGGUUGUGGAUUUUUUGAGACUGAAUUCCAUGGGGAAAACAUCAUUAAGGCUGCUGCUCGUCAACUUUGCCAGGAAGCUCAGUACUGUCUAAAUGUUGGCUUUACUUGAUGCUGUUGUCUUCUUGGUCUUUUAUUAGUGAGUUCAUGCUGUUUAUUUGAGGUGUUCUAGGUAGGUUCUUUGUGUUCUCUUUUCUGUGGCUAGUGAGAAAUCUCAAGUGUUUGAUAAAUAUAGAUGCAAUUUCACUAAGAUGGUAAGUUCUUUUUUUUUUUAUUGUUUUUAUUUUCCCUCAGUUGUUUAUACUUUCUGGGUUUUGAUUCUCUGUGUUUAUUUUUAUUUUUUCAUCAGAGUGAAGAGCCUCACGCUGUACAACAAUGAAGAGUUUGUUUUUUGCUUCUUGGACAGAAUUUCUUGCUCGCAUGGCUUAGAUGGGGGAAUGCUAGAGUUGGAAAUUGUUUUGGGAUUAGUAAUAAUUUGAUAAUCUUUUUUUUACCAAAAUAAUAUUAUUUGAAUCAAAUGCUGGAUUAAUUGUUUUCAGAAAUCCAAAAUAGAGGACAGUUUUGUAUAAGAAUAACUAAUGAAAAAUCCAAAAACAAGAGUGGACAGUGAUUCAUAAUCUAAGGAGAAUCUGGAGUUAGGUCGGUUGUGUUAUAAAUGCACCAAUGUGCGGAGAGCAAGAAAGAGCAAUCAAGCGAAGAAAUCAAAGAGGACAAACGUGAAAGACAAUCAAAGAUAUGGCUUUAAAUGGAGGAGCAGCAGCUGCCAAUCUGCGGAGGAGGAGGAGGAGAACAACAAGUGCAGCUGGCACUAGUAUGCUCCAGUUUUACGCAGAUCAUGAUGGCCCGGGGGGGGGGGGGCGUUACUCAAGAUCUCUCCCAACGUCGCCCUCGUGAUCAGCAUUGGUUUCAUAGCAUUUGUUGCCAUUCUUCAUGUCGGGCAAAGCUGUAUUUCGUCUUAAGUAGGAUCCUAUGGCUGGGUAGCUAGCUAAGAUUAAUCUUCUUUUGAAUUUUGUACGGUCAUUCUCUGUUAUUUUUAUGAAUUCUAUAGCUUCAUUACCUGCUGCUUGCAAUCUUUUGGUUAAAUAAUGAGCUUGAGCUGAGAACAAGAUGCUCUUCAAUUCCAGAGAAUUCACUUUCUAGUAGAUCUUAUG
Diospyros lotus (date-plum) is the source of this 2928-nucleotide RNA transcript. It is a transcript of the gene named F-box protein At5g51370-like, with no coding region annotated. NCBI's taxonomy places the organism in Eukaryota, Viridiplantae, Streptophyta, Magnoliopsida, Ericales, Ebenaceae. The record is from RefSeq and is a predicted model, not a curated record. The transcript has 5 exons.